This 730-nucleotide ribosomal RNA is filed under the name Candidatus Tremblayella phenacoccinincola. RNAcentral describes it as "bacterial SSU rRNA". It matches the Rfam family "Bacterial small subunit ribosomal RNA", at positions 658 to 1382 of the family's 1533-position model. The record is from RNAcentral. Lineage: Bacteria; Pseudomonadati; Pseudomonadota; Betaproteobacteria.
GGGAUAGAAUUCCAGGAGUAUGGGUGAAAUGCGUACAUAUCUGGAGGAAUACCAAAGGCGAAAGCAGUCCCCUGGUCCGAUACUGACACUGAGGUACGAAAGCGUGGGGAGCAAACAGGAUUAGAUACCCUGGUAGUCCACGCCCUAAACGAUGUCGAUUAGCCAUUGGAAGGACCCCUUUUCCUUUCAGUGACGUAUCUAACGCGUUAAAUCGACCGCCUGGGAAGUACGACCGCAAGGUUAAAACUCAAAGGAAUUGACGGGGACCUGAACAAGCGGUGAAUGAUGUGGAUUAAUUCGAUGCUACGCGAAGAACCUUACCUACCUUUGACAUGGCCAAAGUUCUACCGAGAGGCGGAAGUACUCGUAAAAGGAUUGGCGCACAGGUGCUGCAUGGUUGUCGUCAGUUCGUGUCGUGAGAUGUUGGGUUCAGUCCCGCAACGAACGCAACCCUUAUCUUUAAUUGCUCCUAUUUUAACAGGCACUUUAAAGAAACUGCCAAUGAUAAGUUGGAGGAAGGUGGGGAUCACGUCAAGUCCGCAUGGCCUUUAUAGGUAGGGCUUCACACGUCAUACAAUGGUUAGAACAAAGGAGCUGCAAAUUCGUAAGAAGGAGCCAAUCUCACAAACCUAACCUCAGUUCGAAUUGCGGUCUGCAACUCGAGCGCAUGAAGCCGGAAUCGCUAGUAAUCGUGGAUCAGAAUGCCACGGUGAAUACGUUCUUAGGUCUU